AAACAAAUGAAAAAAAAAAGAGAAAGGAUCAAAAAGUUAGCAAUAAUAAAUGCGAUUAAAAAAUUGCAUAAUCCAAGUUUUACAAGGUUACAAAUAUACAUCAUUCGAUUACGUUAACAAAAUAUUUUCUCUCUCUCUCUCUUUUUCGAAGAAAACGAAGAAGAAAGAAGAAAGAAAAAGAAAAGAAAUGAAAAGGACCGUUCUAAUGUUUUACAUUCAAUAAUCCGAAGGAUCGUAGCUCAAACUAAACUAGUCGAGGUCGGCUUGUGACCUUUCGAACGAUCAUUUUGAGUAAGGUAAAGAGGUUUCUAGGAACUACGGCAGCGAUGUAGAAUAGUCAUUGGAGAGUAAUUACGUCCGCACGGUCGGUCGGUCGUCCGUCCGUCCGUCCGUCCGUCCCUUCAUUUGUUCGUUCGAUCGUUCGGUCGGUCUCCGGCAGGUAAAGGUCGCCACUUUGGGUCCGAAGGUUACCUCCUCUUCCUCCUCCUACUCAUGGACACAAACGCACGUAGCGACAUCCUCUAUUCUAUACUAUAAGUAUUAUAUUUCUAUUUCUUUUUUUCUCCUUCGUAAAUUAUCUCUAUCGCUUUCUCUUUUUUUUUUCUCUCUCUCUCUCUCUCUCUCUCUUUCUCUCUUUCUCUUUCCAAAUUUAUUCUUUUAACUUAUAUCUGUCUCUAUCAUCAACGCGUAAGAAUUCCUUCAAAACGCGAACGAAUAUAUCUAAACGACUAUGUUAAUCCUAAUGUUCCUUCGUAGGAUUAAAAAUUUCCUAGGAAACUCGCGCAGUGUACCGUUUUAGCGUUUCAGACCGCUCUCAUUGAGUUCGAUCCAAGAAUGGAUCAGCUGGGUAAUCGCGGACGCGAUGCGCGCACCGUACACAAAUACAUAUAGACGCUAGACACGACAGAGGAUUAUUUUCUCAAGGACGCAUUGAAAGUCGAUAGAACAAACUAGAAAAAAAUGGCAUGGAGACGAAUCGUCGAACGAAUCGGUUAAUCGAGAAAAGGGCGUGCACGCAGAUUGAUACUCGCGACGUAGACGAUACACCAUAGAUUUAACUCGUAUCCGGCUAGUCAGAGAACAGGUCGAAGAAUAAUCGAGCACAUCGGAUGGAGAAACGAAAGGCCAAUUCGUUUUAGAAACACUCACCUUUAUCGCCAACAGCGAUGACCGAUCUGACCACGCGUCAUUUGGACAGUUCAUAGCAGCUACCACACUUCGUCGACCAUCCGUGGGUUAGAGUUCAUAACCUCUUCUACCCUUUGCUUUACCUUUUCUUUGCCCCUCCCCACCCCCCUCUUUACCUCCUCCUUCUCCUCUUCCUCUUCCACCACCUUCUCCUCUUCCUCUUCGUCUUGCAUCUAACCCCACCACUCACCUUUUUACCCACUCGACAUUGCAUUCACCGGCAUCGAUACGCAACCGCAAUAGAGAUUGUCGACAUCUUUUCUGAACUGGGCUGGGUUCCGAUAUUCACAACGAUUCCUAUCGUCCCAUUCGAGCGACAACAAGCGGCAAACGCCUUAACAACUUUUUCUUUGUUAAUACGGUCGUAAGAAUGCCGCCAUUAUUGCGCGGCCAUCUUCGAAGCGCCAUUUUUAAGUCUCACCUUCUCAACGAUACGCACGAUUAUUCUUGCCUUUCUUACUCGAUUUAUUUGUUUGUUCGUUCAAUUGAAAUCACGAUCUCCUUGCAAUUUAACUCUUCGCGACUUUAACACAGAUUCUCAAUUGCCUCGAGAUAAAAUUAUGAUUUGUCCGAAUUGGGUUAGAUUACAUUUAAGAGACGCUUUUUAAACGAAUUUAGUUUUAAGUAGAUCUAUUGAAAUUUCGUCUGCUACAAAUGAUAUCUUUUUGACGGCGCAACGUUGGCUGACAACGUUUCGGUUGGAAAUUAUUUUUGGUCUCACAAUUCGUAUUUACGUAUCUUUUAAACAGUCUUUCGCUUUUCCCGGAUAUACGUACAUCGAAAUUCUCGAGCGCAAAAAGUUAAAAGAUCAAGCCUCUGAAUUCUCUUUAUAGAGUAAAUUUUUGGAUCUACAAAAUUUUAUUGCGUAUAUAUUUAUUACACUCGCAGAGAGUACACUCUAGGUGGUAUACAUAUAAUAGAAACGAUAUAAAGGAAAUUUCAUUAAUUAAAAUAAUAUUAAUAAUAAUAGUAAUAAUUAAACAAUUACUAUUUGUUAUAUAUUUAGUUGUAUAUGCACUGAAUAUAACUUUGUACGUGAAACUUCUGAUGGUGCAGGUUAAGUGUAUUUUUCUUUCUUUGUAUAAAAAAUUUCAAACUUCUUUGAAACUAUAAGAUAAAUUUUCGUACAAUAUCAAUUACUUUCGAAGAAAAAGAAAA
Long non-coding RNA from Vespula vulgaris, 2346 nucleotides. RefSeq lists it as uncharacterized. The record is from RefSeq and is a predicted model, not a curated record. The transcript is spliced from 2 exons. Lineage: Eukaryota; Metazoa; Arthropoda; Insecta; Hymenoptera; Vespidae.